Long non-coding RNA from Dioscorea cayenensis subsp. rotundata (Guinea yam), 1439 nucleotides. RefSeq lists it as uncharacterized. NCBI's taxonomy places the organism in Eukaryota, Viridiplantae, Streptophyta, Magnoliopsida, Dioscoreales, Dioscoreaceae. The transcript is spliced from 5 exons. The record is from RefSeq and is a predicted model, not a curated record.
AAAUAAGAAACGAAGAAGAGAGAGAGAGAUGAAAAGGAAGAGGAGAAAGAAGCUUGUUCAAGAAGCGGAGGUUAUCCAGCUCAGCGACCUUGAAAACCCUAUCAAUGAACUCCGUCUCCUCCUCUCCCGACUUCCGAGCAUCCACCUUCUUGUGCUCAUACCUCCUCCUCCUCCUCCUCCUUUGAUCCUCAUCCUCAUCUUCAUCCUCCACAAUUCGCUUCAAUAACCCAGUCCGGAGGCGAUCGUAGGUCGGAAGCUUCUUGAUCGCCGCCCAAUGCAACGCCUCCUCGUCGCCAGCCUAAUCGGGCAUCCAUGACGCCGAUCUCCCCCUCCUCCUCGCAAAUACCUCUUCCAUUCCCAACGCCCCCAUCUUCAUCUCCCUGCUCAUGCUCCGGCGGAGGUCCCGGCUAGCUCGCCGGCCGGAAUCCCAGAAAGGAGAAGAGUGAUGAGUGGGAGAGUGAAGAGGAAGAGUGAUGAGCAGUAGUAGGAGAGUGAUGAUUGAUGAGUGAUGAGUGAUGAGUGGGAGAGUGUUGUUGAUUCAGAGUGUGUGAUGCUUAUUUGAUUUCUUUGAGUUUUUCAUUGAUUGAUAUUAUGAUUUUUGCCCUUGUUUUUGGUUUUUGAAGAUUAAGUUGUCCAAGGAGCGGGAUUCACUUGCUCUGACUUCGAAGAAAUUGGCCAGAGAUUUGGCGAAGGUGACCUUGAUUACAAUGAUCUUAUAAAAAUCCCCUAUAUGGAUGAACUCGACAAAAGAAUAAAUAUGGAUGAUGUGAGAAUGAGUAUAAACAACAAAUUGAAUUUUUGAUUUCAUUCGAGUGAGGCUUUUGGAAGCUCAGUGAGGGUUUUGAUCACUUGAUAUCACUAGCAGGCAGAAAGGUGAGCCUGAGUGUGUUCAAGUUGUAAGUCCAGGACUUCAUGUUCUUUCUUAUGUGAGACUGCAUACUCCAUGGCAUAAGGCACAAGUACUUGGUGAGAGUUUGAAGGAGAUGUUGAGGAGUAAUGGAGAUAAAGAAAUUGCUGCAAAGGAGAUGGUGGAGAAGUUGAUGGGAAACAGAGUGAAGGUUGAGAAGGAUAGGUUGCCAAACACUGGGUGUGACUCUGACUGAGUUCAAUCUCUGUUGAAACGGACACCGAACUGGUUAUUAUAUAUAUAUAUAUAUAUAUAUAUAUAUUAUUUUGAUGAAACUUGUUGUGGGUUUUUUUUUUCUUUUUAAUUUAAUAGUUUGAUGGGAAAACAGGGAGUGUUUGGGAUAAGGAGUACAGGGGUAUUGGCAGUGAAAACAGAUGGAGAAGCAUGUUUUUAUGAGAAGUACUUGGAGGAAGGAGUGAGGAGUGUGGAAAGAGCAUAGUGUGCAGUACCAUUUAGAUGUUUGAUUGGUUUAUGUUGUGUGUACUUAAUUUUUUUAGUUUAACAAAGAAUCUGUUUGGCUUUUUAAGAACAA